GUUUCAUGAUCCCCACCACGCCCUCCUCGCCCUUUUCCAUUCGUCCGUGCACGCGUCUCGGUCUCUCUUUUUCUCUAACCCCACCUUCCUCCCCAUUCCUUUUUCCCGUCUCCAAAUCCUCCCUCAUUCCUCCUCCUCGGAAACAACGACCGUAACCGCAUCCCUCUUUCCCCGUCCAACGCUAAUGCUAAUUCCAUCUAGAUAACAUCGCCCUCUGAAGCCUCCGACUCGCGCCCAAUUAUCCCAUUUCCUAUUCUCCAGUCAUCCUUUUCCUCCCAUGAAGAAGAGAUUUUCGGAGUGAAAAGGGGUCGGGAUGGAAGAAACGGUUCCGGACCAGCCGAACGACCUGGCCACCUUGUCGGCCGCUUCGACGCCGGAGGCAACGCCGGAGGCGACGCCGGAGCACCCCAUUGAGGAUACAGCGGCGGCGCCGGCGAUGGAGAAGAGCCCGGGCCAGAGCGCGUCGUUAUCCGGGACGUCCCAGUGCUCGUCGCCGCUCGCCCGGCUCCGGGAGGCGAGGCAUGUACGGAGCAACAGUUUCCAGCGGUGGCGGCGGCAGAUUCAGAGAGCGUGGAGGUGGGGGCCCAGCGGCGGCAACAACAGCAAUAGUGGUAGGGAGCAGGGUUUCAAGACGACAUUGAAUUUGGAGGUGAUGGCAAAUCAGAAGCGACAGUGGUAUCAGAUCCAAUCCAAAUCACGGGAUCUUAGACAAUAUAAGGAGCCAUCCUCACUAUUUGAACACUUCUUCAUUGUGGGCCUUCAUUCUUAUGCAAAUGUUGAAGCCAUUGAAGAUGCUUUUGCAAAAAGAAAAAAAUGGGAGUCAGAGGUGGCGAACUCUGAAAUCCUUGAUCUUCGAAAGCUUCAAUAUCAUGGGUGCAUGCCUACUCUGGAACCUCAGAUCCUUUUUAAGUACCCUCCUGGGAAGAGAGUGGCGAUGAGGGAGAAUGAUUUGCCCGCCUUUUGUUUUCCUGAAGGCGUAAAGGCUCGCUUGAUAGAGAGAACGCCAUCCAUGAGUGAUUUAAAUGAAAUUGUGUUUGGACAGGAGCACCUAUCUCAAGAUGAUUUAUCUUUCAUCUUCUGUUUGAAGGUGUCAGACCAUUCGACUUUAUAUGGUGUUUGUCUGUAUGUCCAGGAGAUAGUUCAGAGAGCCCCGGGUAUUUUAGGUUCUGUUUCACCCCUCAACCAUUCUUGCAAGUCUAGCCGUUUCUUGGUUUCUGCACCACGUUGUUAUUGCAUGCUUACAAGAGUUCCCUUUUUUGAGCUGCACUAUGAGAUGCUGAACAGCAUAAUUGCCCAGGAGCGCCUCGAGAGGAUAACACAAUUUGUUAGUGAAAUGGCUCUCUCAGAUCCCAUUCCACAUGGGAUUGCAGGCCAUGGUCAACUGGACGAGAAUUUUUGUUCGCCUGACAGGCAGUCCUGUAAUGAUUGGAUGGGAUAUGCUAUACCAGUUGACAGUGUAUCAGGUCUUCUUUCUUCGGCAGGUCUUCCAUCAGACAGGGAGGUUUCACCAUUUUUAUUUAGGACUUUUGAACCUCAGUCUCCUGAAAGUGUUUCUGCCAGUGAUGCUUCAGACUUUAGUCAUGUAAGAGAGCUGGAUAAGGAAACCCGGAGGUCUUGGCACCAGUAUGAUGAUAACACAUCUGAGACCUCAGGAUCCCGCUCUGAUAGUUUUGAAAGAGUGAAUGGAAACUUUGAACUUGGGCAAACUUCACCAGAGGUUGGCACAGUAUGUUAUUCUGCCAGCAACAGAUUGGAGCACGUUGAAAGUGUGGAGUCUAUAUACAGGUGCUCAGCUAGAGGCACAGGAUCAGAUGAGGAAGAUGAUGAAUUCAGCUUUAAGCAUGAAAUGAAUAUUAGUGAUGAAAAAGUAAUGGAAUGGGCAAAGGCACACAACAAUGAACCACUAAUGAUAGUUUGUGGUUAUCAUGCUCUUCCCCUGCCACCAAGGGGAGGUGAAAUAGUUUUUCACCCUCUAGAGCAUUUACAGCCAAUCAAGUAUUGCCGACCUGGUGUAAUGUCUCUGAACUUAGAUAAUGAUUUUUCUGACAUUGACCCGUCUUCCCUUGGGGAAGCUAAUCAGGUCAAUGCACGAUUAGCAGCUGCUGAAGAAGCUCUUGCACUAUCGAUAUGGACCAUCGCUACAGUUUGCCGUGCUCUAUCUCUUGAAAGUGUGUUGGCACUCUUUGCUGGAGCAUUAUUGGAAAAGCAAGUGGUGGUAAUAUGCCCAAAUUUGGGUGUGCUAUCAGCUAUUGUCUUGUCAGUUAUUCCCAUGAUUCGACCAUUUGAGUGGCAGAGUUUGUUGCUUCCAGUUAUGCCAAGAAAGAUGCUGGAUUUCCUUGAUGCUCCAGUUCCUUUUAUUGUUGGUAUACAACACAAAACAGCGGAUAACAAAAUUAAAUCAGCCAAUAUUAUACAAGUUAAUGUCUCCAAGGACCAGGUGAAGACAUGCUCAUUGCCUCAACUUCCUCGAUAUAAGGAACUUGUCUCUGAUCUAGGUCCUAUUCAUGCUCGGCUUUCAUGUGAAAAUUCCAUAGCUAAAAGACAUCCUGUUUACAGAUGCAGUGAAGUUCAGGUUAAUCCACACUCCAAUUGAAUACGGCUGAAGCUGCCGGCCACUUCUUAAGUGUCAUGAAAGGCUACCUAGAGUCCCUUUGUUCUAAUUUGCGGUCUCAUACCAUCACUAAUGUGCAAUCAAAUAAUGAUAAGGUGUCACUUCUCCUGAAAGACAGUUUUGUUGAUUCAUUCCCCGUCAAGGAUCGACCAUUCAUUAAGCUUUUUGUAGAGACACAGCUGUUCUCUGUUCUAUCAGAUUCUCGGCUUUCCACCUAUGAGCAUGAGUAGUCUUUACUUUGGUAAUAUACCAACUAAUGCAUGAUCAAUCAAGAGCUCAUUUUGUAGUAUCAAAAGCUGCAGAAAAUGUUAUGCACGAGCAUACACUACGGCUGCUCGGUGAACUGCUACAUGAUGUUCAUAAUUUACGUGCAGGGAAGGUUCCUGCAUAGAAUCUUAUUCCCAGAAAGAAAAUCAGCAUGCUUAUAUUGUAACUUGAUUACAUGGUAAUACUAUGGCAGGCCCUACCAAGUUUGGCUGCUUCGGGGCCUUCGGCCAUGAUGCAUCCCGGUCUUUUAAAAUGGGAUGCCAUGGCUUGUUAGGGUUGUGUUUGCUUGUCCUAUUGUUGUAUAUCUGUAUCCAAUAAACUUUUAUUGAGCGGGCCUUUGGUCACAGGCCAUUUUUUGUCUUAUGUCAAUAAAUUUUUACGAUCAUGUGAAUCACAAUCAUGACCACAUGUCGAGCUUAUAGUUUGUGGAGGUUGUUCAGUAUCCUAAAUUUAGAGAAUGCAUGUUCAUUUCAAUGCUUGAGAA
Non-coding RNA from Elaeis guineensis (African oil palm), 3362 nucleotides. The record is from RefSeq and is a predicted model, not a curated record. NCBI's taxonomy places the organism in Eukaryota, Viridiplantae, Streptophyta, Magnoliopsida, Arecales, Arecaceae.